Molecule: ribosomal RNA, 442 nt
Filed under: uncultured bacterium
Lineage: Bacteria
Description: partial 16S ribosomal RNA
Rfam family: Bacterial small subunit ribosomal RNA
Source: RNAcentral
CCUACGGGUGGCAGCAGUGGGGAAUAUUGGGCAAUGGGCGCAAGCCUGACCCAGCAACGCCGCGUGAAGGAAGAAGGCUCUCGGGUUGUUAAACUCCUUUUAGCGGGAAGAGAAGAAGACGGUACCUCUUGAAUAAGCCACGGCUAACUACGUGCCAGCAGCUGCGGCAAUACGGAGGUGGGAAGUGAUGUCCGGAUUUACUGGGUGUAAAGGGCGUGUAGGCGGGCUGAUAAGUCAGAUGUGAAAUCCCGUGGCUCAACCACGGAACUGCAUUUGAUACUGUCGGUCUUGAGUAUCGGAGAGGCAGGCGGAAUGCCUAGUGUAGCGGUGAAAUGCGUAGAUAUUAGGCAGAACACCGGUGGCGAAGGCGGCCUGCUGGACGACAACUGACGGUGAGGCACGAAAGCGUGGGGAGCAAACAGGAUUAGAUACCCGUGUAGUC